AGGGUUCGAUUCUGGCUCAGAACGAACGCUGGCAGCGUGGAUUAGGCAUGCAAGUCGAACGGGAUCGGGAAGGUAGCAAUAUCGGCCCGUGAGAGUGGCGGAAGGGCGAGGAACACGUGGGCAACCUGCCCUGGAGGCGGGGAAAACCUCGGGAAACCGGGGCUAAUACCGGAUGUAGCGGCCGGGACGCAUGUCCCGGCCGUCAAAGGGGGCCGCAAGGCUCCCCCUCCUGGAGGGGCCCGCGCACCAUCAGCUUGUUGGCGGGGUGACGGCCCACCAAGGCUCACGGUUAGCUGGUCUGAGAGGAUGGCCAGCCGCACUGGGACUGAGAUACUGCCCAGACUCCUACGGGAGGCUGCAGUCGAGGAUCAUUCGCAAUGGGGGAAACCCUGACGAUGCGACGCUGCGUGGAGGAUGGAGGCCUUCGGGUCGUAAACUCCUGUCAUGAGGGAAAAGGCGAGGGGGCCGAACACGCCCCUUAGUUGAUGGUACCUCAAGAGGAACGGGCGGCUAACUCUGUGCCAGCAGCCGC
RNAcentral lists this ribosomal RNA (532 nucleotides) under uncultured bacterium. Its description in RNAcentral is "bacterial SSU rRNA". It matches the Rfam family "Bacterial small subunit ribosomal RNA", at positions 8 to 518 of the family's 1533-position model. The record is from RNAcentral.